CCUGGAACCAAAGGCAAAUCUCACUGGUCAGACCAGGCAGGACCUGUCCCCAGUAAGAGCACAUGACCUGGUGACGCCGCCGCGGCUGUGCAUUUAAGAGGUUUUGGAAGCAUUCUGGACGUCUGGAGACAGAACAGAGCCUGGGGAGGUGAGUCCUAAGAGACUCUUCAGAAGAGGUCUCCACAGAACUGGCCCCAUGAAGCUGUUGUACAUUCUCAUCUUCAUCAUCUCCCUCAUGUCUCAAGUGACGCCAGCUUAUGGGCACAGUGCAAUGCACACUUGGUGUGACUGGAGUGUAAGUGUGUGCCUGCGGAAGAAGAUAAACUGCACCAAGCGCAUGCCCGGCAUGUGCCCUGGAAGAAGCUUCUGUUGUCUGAGAAUGAAGUGAGCCCAAGAAUUCAUGUUUCAUGCCCUGACCCUGUGUUCAGUAAAUUGAAGAGUUCAUGUUUAA
Artibeus jamaicensis (Jamaican fruit-eating bat) is the source of this 451-nucleotide long non-coding RNA. RefSeq lists it as uncharacterized. The transcript has 3 exons. The record is from RefSeq and is a predicted model, not a curated record. NCBI's taxonomy places the organism in Eukaryota, Metazoa, Chordata, Mammalia, Chiroptera, Phyllostomidae.